UACGUAGGGGGCGAGCGUUGUCCGGAAUUAUUGGGCGUAAAGGGUUCGCAGGCGGUUUUUUUAAGUCAGGUGUGAAAGGCAUAGGCUCAACCUGUGUAAGCACUUGAAACUGGAGGACUUGAGUUAAGGAGAGGAAAGUGGAAUUCCUAGUGUAGCGGUGAAAUGCGUAGAUAUUAGGAGGAAUACCAGUGGCGAAGGCGACUUUCUGGACUUAUACUGACGCUGAGGAACGAAAGCGUGGGGAGCAAACAGGAUUAGAUACCCCGGUAGUCCCUGAGCGGGCUGGCAA
RNAcentral lists this ribosomal RNA (289 nucleotides) under uncultured prokaryote. Its description in RNAcentral is "partial 16S ribosomal RNA". It matches the Rfam family "Bacterial small subunit ribosomal RNA", at positions 524 to 815 of the family's 1533-position model. The record is from RNAcentral.